GAAUUCGCCCUUAGAGUUUGUUCCUGGCUCAGGACGAACGCUGGCGGCGCGCCUAACACAUGCAAGUCGAACGGGACCAUUUUAGAGUUUACUUUGAGAUGGUUUAGUGGCGGACGGGUGAGUAACACGUGAGCAACCUACCUUUCAGAGGGGGAUAACAGUUGGAAACGACUGCUAAUACCGCAUAACGUUGUAAAAGGGCAUCCACUUACAACCAAAAGAGAAAUCUGCUGAAAGAUGGGCUCGCGGCCGAUUAGAUAGUAGGCGGGGUAACGGCCCACCUAGUCAACGAUCGGUAGCCGGACUGAGAGGUUGAACGGCCACAUUGGGACUGAGACACGGCCCAGACUCCUACGGGAGGCAGCAGUGGGGGAUAUUGCACAAUGGGCGAAAGCCUGAUGCAGCGACGCCGCGUGAGGGAAGACGGUCUUCGGAUUGUAAACCUCUGUCUUUGGGGAAGAAUAGAGACGGUACCCAAAGAGGAAGCUCCGGCUAACUACGUGCCAGCAGCCGCGGUAAUACGUAGGGAGCGAGCGUUGUCCGGAAUUACUGGGUGUAAAGGGAGCGUAGGCGGGCUUGUAAGUUGAAUGUCUAAUCCACCGGCUCAACCGGUGAUCGCGUUCAAAACUGCAGGUCUUGAGUGAAGUAGAGGCAGGCGGAAUUCCUAGUGUAGCGGUGAAAUGCGUAGAUAUUAGGAGGAACACCAGUGGCGAAGGCGGCCUGCUGGGCUUUAACUGACGCUGAGGCUCGAAAGCGUGGGGAGCAAACAGGAUUAGAUACCCUGGUAGUCCACGCCGUAAACGAUGAUUACUAGGUGUGGGGAGAUCAAACUUUCCCGUGCCGGAGUAAACACAAUAAGUAAUCCACCUGGGGAGUACGGCCGCAAGGUUGAAACUCAAAGGAAUUGACGGGGGCCCGCACAAGCAGUGGAGCAUGUGGUUUAAUUCGAAGCAACGCGAAGAACCUUACCAAGUCUUGACAUCCUCCUGAAUGAUGGGUAAAGCCGUCAGGCCUUCGGGACAGGAGAGACAGGUGGUGCAUGGUUGUCGUCAGCUCGUGUCGUGAGAUGUUGGGUUAAGUCCCGCAACGAGCGCAACCCUUAUCCUCAGUAGCCAGCGGCCAGGCCGGGCACUCUGUGGAGACUGCCAGGGAGAACCUGGAGGAAGGUGGGGAUGACGUCAAAUCAUCAUGCCCCUUAUGAUUUGGGCUACACACGUGCUACAAUGGCGUAAACAAAGGGAAGCGAAGUGGCGACACGGAGCGAACCCCAAAAAUAACGUCUCAGUUCGGAUUGUAGUCUGCAACUCGACUACAUGAAGCUGGAAUCGCUAGUAAUCGCGGAUCAGAAUGCCGCGGUGAAUACAUUCCCGGGUCUUGCACUCACCGCCCGUCA
This 1393-nucleotide ribosomal RNA is filed under the name uncultured bacterium. RNAcentral describes it as "bacterial SSU rRNA". It matches the Rfam family "Bacterial small subunit ribosomal RNA". The record is from RNAcentral.